ACGGAAUAGAUACCCCCGGUAGUCCUGGCAGUAAACGGUGCACGUUUGGUGUGGGCGCAAUCGACCGCGUCCGCGCCGGAGCUAAACGCGUUAAACGUGCCGCCUGGGAAGUACGGUCGCAAGAUUAAAACUCAAAGAAAUUGACGGGGACCCGCACAAGCGGUGGAGUAUGUGGCUUAAUUCGAUGCAACGCGAAGAACCUUACCUGGUCUUGACAUGCAUUGUGUCUCCGGUGAAAGCCGGAUAGGGUAGCAAUACCCGCUUUGCACAGGUGCUGCAUGGCUGUCGUCAGCUCGUGUCGUGAGAUGUUGGGUUAAGUCCCCGCAACGAGCGCAACCCCUGUGAUUUGUUGCCACCGGCUUAUGCCGAGCACUCGAAUCAGACUGCCUCGAUCAACGAGGAGGAAGGUGGGGAUGACGUCAAGUCCGUAUGGCCCUUACGACCAGGGCUGCACACGUACUACAAUGCCCAGUACAAUGUGAACCGAGACCGCGAGGUGGAGGAAACCAAUAAAA
Molecule: ribosomal RNA, 515 nt
Filed under: uncultured bacterium
Lineage: Bacteria
Description: bacterial SSU rRNA
Rfam family: Bacterial small subunit ribosomal RNA
Source: RNAcentral